RNAcentral lists this ribosomal RNA (466 nucleotides) under uncultured bacterium. RNAcentral's name for it is "partial 16S ribosomal RNA". It matches the Rfam family "Bacterial small subunit ribosomal RNA", at positions 28 to 507 of the family's 1533-position model. The record is from RNAcentral.
GAUGAACGCUGGCGGCGUGCUUAACACAUGCAAGUCGAACGAUGAAGCCCAGCUUGCCGGGUGGAUUAGUGGCGAACGGGUGAGUGACACGUGAGUAACCUGCCCUUAACUCUGGGAUAAGCCUGGGAAACUGGGUCUAAUACCGGAUAGGAGCGUCCACCGCAUGGUGGGUGUUGGAAAGAUUUAUCGGUUUUGGAUGGACUCGCGGCCUAUCAGCUUGUUGGUGAGGUAAUGGCUCACCAAGGCGACGACGGGUAGCCGGCCUGAGAGGGUGACCGGCCACACUGGGACUGAGACACGGCCCAGACUCCUACGGGAGGCAGCAGUGGGGAAUAUUGCACAAUGGGCGCAAGCCUGAUGCAGCGACGCCGCGUGAGGGAUGACGGCCUUCGGGUUGUAAACCUCUUUCAGUAGGGAAGAAGCGAAAGUGACGGUACCUGCAGAAGAAGCACCGGCUAACUACGUG